Oncorhynchus keta (chum salmon) is the source of this 2212-nucleotide long non-coding RNA. RefSeq lists it as uncharacterized. NCBI's taxonomy places the organism in Eukaryota, Metazoa, Chordata, Actinopteri, Salmoniformes, Salmonidae. The record is from RefSeq and is a predicted model, not a curated record. The transcript is spliced from 4 exons.
CGUCUCUGGGGUAAUGUCAUGGUUAAGGACAGAUCAGGUCUGUCAGGCUAGCUGGGCAGCCCGUCUCUGGGGUAACGUCAUGGUUAAGGACAGAUCAGGUCUGUCAGGCUAGCUGGGCAGCCCGUCUCUGGGGUAACGUCAUGGUUAAGGACAGAUCAGGUCUGUCAGGCUAGCUGGGCAGCCCGUCUCUGGGGUAACGUCAUGGUUAAGGACAGAUCAGGUCUGUCAGGCUAGCUGGGCAGCCCGUCUCUGGGGUAAUGUCAUGGUUAAGGACAGAUCAGGUCUGUCAGGCUAGCUGGGCAGCCCGUCUCUGGGGUAAUGUCAUGGUUAAGGACAGAUCAGGUCUGUCAGGCUAGCUGGGCAGCCCGUCUCUGGGGUAACGUCAUGGUUAAGGACAGAUCAGGUCUGUCAGGCUAGCUGGGCAGCCCGUCUCUGGGGUAACGUCAUGGUUAAGGACAGAUCAGGUCUGUCAGGCUAGCUGGGCAGCCCGUCUCUGGGGUAAUGUCAUGGUUAAGGACAGAUCAGGUCUGUCAGGCUAGCUGGGCAGCCCGUCUCUGGGGUAACGUCAUGGUUAAGGACAGAUCAGGUCUGUCAGGCUAGCUGGGCAGCCCGUCUCUGGGGUAACGUCAUGGUUAAGGACAGAUCAGGUCUGUCAGGCUAGCUGGGCAGCCCGUCUCUGGGGUAACGUCAUGGUUAAGGACAGAUCAGGUCUGUCAGGCUAGCUGGGCAGCCCGUCUCUGGGGUAACGUCAUGGUUAAGGACAGAUCAGGUCUGUCAGGCUAGCUGGGCAGCCCGUCUCUGGGGUAACGUCAUGGUUAAGGACAGAUCAGGUCUGUCAGGCUGCAGUGUUGUUCUUCUUAUAAGUCUGAUCUGAAGAAAUCCAGCACUAACUGACAUAUUGUACAGUAGAGAGGGCAGAGGUUAGGGGAGAACAUGGAGGGACUUAUGACCGUCCUGGGUAAUGUCAUGGUCACCCAAACCCCCGGCUGCCAGGGACUGUCUGUCAGUACUGUUUUAUGUGACACAUAAACACAUUUUGCUUUGAAGUGAUCUGAAGGUGAAAGUUAGGGUUAGGAACGAUCCCGGUUUGGCCUGGAAUUUCCAAAUACAAAUCAAGUCAAAUUGUAUUUGUCCGAUUCUUUGUAAACAACAGGUGUAGUCUAACAGCGAAAUACUUAGUUACGGGUCCUCUUCCAACAAUGCAGAAUUAAAGAUUCAUUAAAGAUUCCAUAAAAAAAAAAGAAGAUAUGUUGAACAUCUUCCCGUAAGUGAACAUUAAAUGUCUGAGUAGUGUACAGUUUCAUAUGCUACUGUAUAUCCAGUGCUGUAUCAACUGAACAACACAGUGGUUGAUAUAUUCCAUAGGUUGACCCAUGAUGCUGAUUCCCAUUACAUCUGGUGUCGUAGCUAUUAGGGAACAGUGUUGACACCCUCUUCAUUCACUUACUUUGUUGGCCAUUAGUCAGUCAGACGAGAGGCCAAUGGUUUUUACCUCAGAGCUGAGUGCUGCCCCUGGGUGUAAGUCACACCACUCUGAGAGGGAAAGAGAGAGGGGAAGCAGGGAGGAGGUGGGGGGAGAGGAGCAGCGGGGGUUGCUGUACUUGGCAAUCCAGAGGGAUUAGUGACAAAGAUGACUGGGAUGUCUGGGUCUUUGUGUGUGUGUGUGCUAUGUAUGUCUGUACCUGGUCAGCUGACAUGUUCCCAAAUCCAAGCGAGAAAGCUCUCAUUAUCAUUGUCACGCUGUCACGGCGACUGUGUCGCUUCACCAGGGAUCUAUUUAUAGCAGAGCCACUGAGGUGGAGGGAUACGCUCUAAGAGUGGAGGAAUACAUCACAUUCUGCAGCUGAGUGUGAGUGAUAAUGUUGAAGUGCUUUGACAUUAGAGAGGAAAUAGUUCCCCACAGUCUAGUCCAGGUCUACAGUCUGUGGUUGAAGUAGGGUCAAAUAUUUUCAUUGACCUUAAAAGUCUUCCAAAAAGAGGGAAGAAUGGACUGCAUUUCUGUAUGAUCAUUUCUCAGAUCAUUGUGCUGUUUUCUUAAAAGCGGACAUGUUUUUUCACAUUUGUAAUUUUAGAUAAGAGCAUAGCUGUAAUUUAUUAUUUUAAUCAGACUUUUACUAGUGUAAAUAAUACAUGAAGUACAGUGAAAUAUUACACGAAUCCUAUGAUGUUUUAACAGUAAUAAACAUACUGAUGCAUUUUUCUUAUUUCUCUU